Long non-coding RNA from Anopheles arabiensis, 1309 nucleotides. RefSeq lists it as uncharacterized. NCBI's taxonomy places the organism in Eukaryota, Metazoa, Arthropoda, Insecta, Diptera, Culicidae. The transcript is spliced from 2 exons. The record is from RefSeq and is a predicted model, not a curated record.
CAAAAUUUGACGUUUGUGAAAAAGCGUAAACAAACAGCUAUUUGGCGCAGUUGUGACCCAUUGUUAUGAUAAUAAUGCUAAAAUGCAUGAUUCUAACUGAUGUAUGUACCUAGUUAGUGCUUCUUAAACAAAAUAACGAUGAUAUUCAGAUGUUGGAGCUUUUUGUCGCUCUUGUCUCCGUGGCCACGCGCUAAAUGGUACGAUGGGUCCGUGGCGUUUGAUAUUCGAAAAAAAAACUGAUGGGCAAGGAUGGCUAGCAGCAGCAGGAUUACAUGAGCAAGGACAUGAAAAAGUGGCUGAAGAUGGAGCAGCUCGAGCGACUUGGAGGAGGAGGGGCGAGCAGACGGUGAGGAUGGAACUGCGCUCGAGGAUCUGGCGGUAGAGUUUAACGGCCAGCUGGGCCAGAUCGUGAUUGAUAGUACGGACGAGAUGAUAUUGAUGUCGGAAGCGAGCACGUGGAAUAGCUGGAGAAGGUAGACCCCAACGACCUGUCGACGGACGACGAUGCAGAUGGAGCGAAGCGGAAUCCGUACAUGCUGCACACGGCGUUCAACAUGAGAUGAAUCUGCACGUGAAGUUCUACGCGUCGGACGUGAUCAUCGCGUCGCCGCUCGGGACUACGACUACUCAUCGCCGAACUGGCGGAGGUACGGAGUUCGAGAAACCCAGAGUCGGGAGUCGUGUGGGGUUAUUCGGAGUCAUCCGGUGACGUCAUCAUUCGGAGUUGUCCGGAGUCGUUCCGGAGUAUAUGGUCUAUAGUCUAGUAAAUCUAAUAAAUAUGAAUCUAUUUUCUCUAAGACUAGUAGGCUUUGAGUCGAUCCAAGUCUGCAGGAAGGAGACGGAGUCGGAGAUGAAAUGCCUGACCACAAAAACAUAGCCCACUUACGAACGGCUCUAAUCCUGAUGACUUCAGACUAGUGAUAGGAGCUUGGAAUCGGACCUACUUAAUUCCGAUUCAGUGUUGGGAAUAAAUUCCGUAGGCAAUUCCGAUGCCGGAAUCGAUUCCGAUUUCGGAGUCGAUCCCGAAGUUGGUUCUGGAGCCGUUUCUGGAGUUGGUUCCGGAGCCGAUUCCGGAGUUGGUUUCAGAGCCGAUUCCGGAGUUGAGUCCAGAGCCGAUUCCGGGAUCGACUCCGGAAUCGAUUCCAGGAUCGGAAUCGGCUCCGAAAUCAGAAUCGUCUCCGGAAUCGGCAUCAACCUGGGAAUCGCAAUUUGCUCCGGUAACGGAACCAGGCUUGGCUCCAGGAAUGGAGUUAGCUCCGGGAUGAGAAUUAGUUUUUGAAUUGAAAUAAAAAGUGUGUAGCGUCAUGUA